AGAGUUUGAUCCUGGCUCAGAACGAACGCUGGCGGCAUGCCUAACACAUGCAAGUCGAACGAGACCUUUGGGUCUAGUGGCGCACGGGUGCGUAACGCGUGGGAAUCUGCCCUUUGCUGCGGAAUACCUCGGAGAAAUCCGUGCUAAUACCGCAUAAUGACUUCGGUCCAAAGAUUUAUCGGCAAAGGAUGAGCCCGCGUACGAUUAGCUUGUUGGUGAGGUAAAGGCUCACCAAGGCGACGAUCCUUAGCUGGUCUGAGAGGAUGAUCAGCCACACUGGGACUGAGACACGGCCCAGACUCCUACGGGAGGCAGCAGUGGGGAAUAUUGGACAAUGGGCGAAAGCCUGAUCCAGCAAUGCCGCGUGAGUGAUGAAGGCCUUAGGGUUGUAAAGCUCUUUUACCCGGGAUGAUAAUGACAGUACCGGGAGAAUAAGCUCCGGCUAACUCCGUGCCAGCAGCCGCGGUAAUAC
RNAcentral lists this ribosomal RNA (472 nucleotides) under uncultured bacterium. Its description in RNAcentral is "bacterial SSU rRNA". It matches the Rfam family "Bacterial small subunit ribosomal RNA", at positions 8 to 526 of the family's 1533-position model. The record is from RNAcentral.